GACGAAUGCUGGCGGCGUGCUUAACACAUGCAAGUCGAACGGAAAGGCCCUGCUUUUGUGGGGUGCUCGAGUGGCGAACGGGUGAGUAACACGUGAGUAACCUGCCCUUGACUUUGGGAUAACUUCAGGAAACUGGGGCUAAUACCGGAUAGGAGCUCCUGCUGCAUGGUGGGGGUUGGAAAGUUUCGGCGGUUGGGGAUGGACUCGCGGCUUAUCAGCUUGUUGGUGGGGUAGUGGCUUACCAAGGCUUUGACGGGUAGCCGGCCUGAGAGGGUGACCGGCCACAUUGGGACUGAGAUACGGCCCAGACUCCUACGGGAGGCAACAGUGGGGAAUAUUACACAGUGGGCGGGAGCCUGAUGCAGCAACGCCGCGUGCGGGAUGACGGCCUUCGGGUUGUAAACCGCUUUCGCCUGUGACGAAGCGUGAGUGACGGUAAUGGGUAAAGAAGCACCGGCUAACUACGUG
RNAcentral lists this ribosomal RNA (468 nucleotides) under uncultured bacterium. RNAcentral describes it as "partial 16S ribosomal RNA". It matches the Rfam family "Bacterial small subunit ribosomal RNA", at positions 28 to 507 of the family's 1533-position model. The record is from RNAcentral.